Cimex lectularius (bed bug) is the source of this 3928-nucleotide long non-coding RNA. RefSeq lists it as uncharacterized. NCBI's taxonomy places the organism in Eukaryota, Metazoa, Arthropoda, Insecta, Hemiptera, Cimicidae. The transcript has 2 exons. The record is from RefSeq and is a predicted model, not a curated record.
AGAGUGAGAGUGAAGAAGAGAGAGAGCGUGAGAGAGAGAAUUCUUUACAAAUCGGGCACUUGAAUUAAUGAAGGUAUGACGUUAACAUAUAGUGAAAUAAAUCAAUUUUGUGAUUUAUAAAAUAUAAAAAAAUAGAAGUGUAGUAGCGAUAAUAAAAACAUUAGAGAAAAAAUAGUAAUAGCAAAAGACUUCCUUGUCUUGUGCGAACAUAAUCACAAAACGUGAACAUAAAGUUGAUAAAAGAAGAUGAGGUGCUGGACAGAAGGGACUUAAAAGUAGUAAGGGAGACGCGACUGUGUGGAUUGUCAAAGGAAAAGAAUUCCGGAGAUUGAUGGCUCCAGCUUGGAAAGCUAAAAUUUGGAGAUGCUAUGACGAUGAAGAUUUAAGUCAUUGGGAAACGAGCCGGUGUUAAAAGAGUGAUAGAAGAUUCGAAUUGAAGAAGAUGAAAAGUACAGUGAGGUCGACGAGAGUUUAAGGAUUAGGUAAAGGAAGAUGCCUAUACAAUUUUUCCUAAGGAAAGAGUGAUAAAGCCAGGAUAGGUCUGAAUACGAUAUGAGACUGGACUUUCGGGGUGCCGAAAAUAACCUAAGACGGCAAUUCAUCAGUCUUUCAGAAGCUUUUCUUCUUCCUCCGAAGUCCACCAUAAGCAAUACAGCUGUCGUCGAAGAGGAGAAAGAGGAGAGAGGAGACAAGGAGUUUACGAAAGGUAGAACGAGCCAGGACUAACAUAAAACAGUUCUAGAAUCUAAUUGGAAUGAAAUGGAAAGUAGGCUAUUAAUUGGAGAGCAACUCUUGAAAUUGACAAGUAACGAGAAAUUUCUUAUUCUUUUCUUUUGAAUGUCUUAUUUUUACGACCAGACCGUAAGGUUGUAUAUGCGUUUGGUGUGCAAAAUAUAAAUAAACCUAUAUUCAUUCAAAUUUAAGGAUGGUGCGUUAAUUUUGUCCGUCGGCGUAUUGCAGAUAAGACCCACAGACGACUUCAAGUACCUAGUCAAUAAACCUAGAAGUUGGUCAGUUUGGUCGGUUGUUUAUCUUUCGUGGUGUACACAACAAUGAAGAUAGUUAUUUCAAAGAAUAAACCAAAACUGGAAUAACGAAGUUCUUACUAAUAAGUCAUAAUCAAGGUCAUGUCAGCUCAUACAAAAUUUUAGCGCUUUGACGUUGCAAUGUCAUAUUGAUUCAGUUAAUCCCAGACGUAAACAUCUUUACGAACAGAAGAAACAUCUUGAGAUAAUUACGUUUACUUAACCGAUAGCGUUAACUGACUUUAAUUCAAAUUUGAAUGAACUUUACGCGUUAACAAUCUUCACUCGCCUUCGUGUGUAUCACGUUAAACUGUUGGGUCAUAGAGAACUUCGAACUUAAAAUGCCGGACGACGAGUUCAAUAACAAUUAAACUGUUGUUUGACCAUGGCCCGAUUUUCAGCUUAGAAGGCCUCUUAAUGUAAAUUCUUUAAAUUAGGAAUUUAUAAGGGAUCGUUCUUAUAAGAAAUCGACAUUAUUUAUGUUUUGGCCUAUAGAAAAAUAACCGCGAUUCAGAAAUAAUAAUUUUUUUUUUCUUUCCCAACUUCCAUCAUACAGAAUACUAAUAAUAAAUAAACAAAUAAUUUAACAUUACACGUCACUGAAUUGAUUUAAACUUAAUUUCUCCAACUAUCAUCAAACUAAACUCUGUGGAAUAUGGCGGAUGAUAAGUAGGGGUUUGAAAUGUAACAAAAUAUUCAACUAUGUUAUAAAAAGCCUUCAGUUUUAAUUUAGAAAAGGAUUUUAUGGACGGAAAUAAGCUUUUUUUUUCUAUAGAAAUUCGGUCAGAAAUUCAAUUAUUUGAUUGAACCUACCAGUUUUCUUAAGAGGAAUGGUCCAGGUCAGUCAGUUUAAUGCAUGAUAAGUCUUUUGGCUUAAGAAAUAAUCUUUAAUGAACAAAGUGCUAGCUUUCUACGCUUUGUUUAUAGGCAUAAUCUGCAGUUUGUUGCCUUGAUGAGCUUCGUGAUAUUGGAGUCUGAUUCUGUAGUUCGGUCAUAUUGGUCAAAUUCGUUAUGCGCUUUUUGGUUUGUCUGUUCCAUUAUCUUCAAUGGUGCCAAACUUAAGGGGCUCACGGGGGAAAGCGGUAAAAUGCAAAAAGCAGGCAUAUGUAGACAAGGAUGAUUGGUUCAUUUCACAGACAUAAUGAGAAAAUUUCACAGUCAGACCUACCUUACUCACAUCCUCCUCACAAGUCUGAUAUGAAUUUAGUUAAUUGCAGUUCAUAAUGUUUGUAUUCGCCUGUGAUAUUUCUCCAUGUGGUUUAUGGGGUGAUGAAUUUGUUAUUUGUUCGUUACUGAUCACUGUUCAUUUUUUUGGUUUAAACUAUCAGAUGCAUUUUGACUUUUUGCUAACAUCAGCAGGUGAGAAUAUAAACUUAAAGAAGGACACGAUUCAUGAUAAAACACACAGGCGAACCACCAAAGUGGUAAGAUGACAAAAUCAGUGGAGAUCGGCAGAAAGGACGAUCGGAAAUUCUAGGUUUAUUGUCUUGGUCCUUGAAGACAUUUCAAGGUUUGAUAUGAUCUCAUCUUACUCACUUCUUCCUUACAAGCCUGAAUUUUGUAAAUCCUGUGCAUAGCAUUUGUGUUAUUUCACCAUGUUGUCUGUUAGGCAAUAAACCUGUUAUUUGUAUGUUACUGAUCAAAUUAAUCUGCUGGUUUCGCUUUCUCGCCAUCAUCAGUGCAGGUUUUAGGCAAUUCAAAAUGUUCUCAAAAUACCAACAUUUUAUUAUGGCACAUUUUAUGCUCCCCCCCACCAAAAAAAGCCAGACUGAUUUCUGUGAUACAGAAUUGAUAAAAUCAAUAAAAAUUUAAUAUCGCAGACCCAAUUAAACCUUUUGUUUACUGAGUACCAACACAACGAUAAUAAAAUUAAAUACACUUUAAAAUUAAAUUUAAUUGAUAUUGUCACUCAUGGCUACUUGAACCUUGUAUUUGCUUAUUAAAUAAUACUUUUGUGGUAUCCGCAUGUUAAUAAUAAUUGUAUUCCAAUCAAAUACCCCUUCAAGUCGAGAACCACUUGAAAGAAUGAAAUUUCCAAUUAGUUUUCACUUUUUUUCCUUUGGCAAUAUCAGUUAUCAAUUAACAUUUAUCAGCGGUAAUAUAAAAGUGCUUGGAUUUUUUUUUCUUUCAGUUUUACAAAUAUCUUGUCAAUGUCAGUUUUGGAUUUUUAAAAAUAAAAACAAACAAGCAGUUUUACUCAUGUUUCAGAUUUUUAUCAGAAAUUAAAUUUGAAAUACUUACAUUACAACCAUGUAAAUAAAUGAAUUAAUACAGAUAUAUCAUUUGAUUGAAGGUAUGCAUUAUUAGGUAUUAAAGAAUAUGUAAGGAUGUUAGGUGAAUGUAUAUAUUUGCGAAAUUGAAUAGUGUGUGGCUGAUAGCGUAUGUUCACUUAUUUGGAUGUAUUGUAUUUGAAUUGACAGAGGAAUAUAAAAGAAGAAUGUAUUAAAGAAUUAAUUAAAAUGAUAAGAUUUAAAGUUGCAUACAUUAGGGGCUGAAUAUCUAGCUGUUUUUUUUUUGUUUUGUUUUUUGAUGGCACUCUGCAUUUUCUGCGUUUUGUCUUACACAUGUGUGGUAACAGCUUCCUAGCCCCUUCAAGAGCGAUUUACAUUCUGCUGAAAUGUGGGGUACAUCGAACAUGUUGCUUCUUCCUUCAUAAAUGUCCCCUCUCACACAUGGUGAAAAGUCCUAAUUCAAUCAAUAUUUCAGUAACGUACUUACACGCGCACAGAGAAUUAAAAAAAAAAAAAAAAAAGUUUUCCAGCUUUCAAAGCAUAAACCAAUUACAAUGUUCUAUACAAACAUGUCUUAUCACACAAGUACAACGUAGAAAGGUUCAAUUUUAUUUCAAAGACAAAUUGGGCUACUGUGUUGCAGUUGAAGAGAAUGUCUUUGAACAUCUCAUU